UUGCGUAGGUGGUUUAUUAAGUGAAUAGUGAAAGCUGGUGGCUUAACCAUACAGACUAUUAUUCAAACUGGUAGACUCGAGAGUAGUAGAGGUAACUGGAAUUUCUUGUGUAGGAGUGGAAUCCGUAGAUAUAAGAAGGAACACCAAUGGCGUAGGCAGGUUACUGGACUAUCUCUGACACUGAGGCACGAAAGCGUGGGGAGCGAACCG
RNAcentral lists this ribosomal RNA (210 nucleotides) under uncultured bacterium. RNAcentral describes it as "partial 16S ribosomal RNA". It matches the Rfam family "Bacterial small subunit ribosomal RNA", at positions 567 to 775 of the family's 1533-position model. The record is from RNAcentral.